UGUGGUGUAGCUCAGUGGUAGAGCACUUACAUAGCAUGUAGGAGGCCCUGGGUUCAAUCCUAGAACUACAA
Molecule: transfer RNA, 71 nt
Filed under: Ictidomys tridecemlineatus (thirteen-lined ground squirrel)
Lineage: Eukaryota; Metazoa; Chordata; Mammalia; Rodentia; Sciuridae
Description: Spermophilus tridecemlineatus (thirteen-lined ground squirrel) tRNA
Rfam family: tRNA
About the family: Transfer RNA (tRNA) molecules are approximately 80 nucleotides in length.
Source: Rfam by way of RNAcentral